Molecule: ribosomal RNA, 34 nt
Filed under: uncultured Pseudotomentella
Lineage: Eukaryota; Fungi; Basidiomycota; Agaricomycetes; Thelephorales; Thelephoraceae
Description: partial 18S ribosomal RNA
Source: RNAcentral
UGUGGGUAAUGUGCUGACCUGCGGUGGAUCAUUA